RNAcentral lists this ribosomal RNA (439 nucleotides) under uncultured bacterium. RNAcentral describes it as "bacterial SSU rRNA". It matches the Rfam family "Bacterial small subunit ribosomal RNA", at positions 351 to 782 of the family's 1533-position model. The record is from RNAcentral.
GCAGUGGGGAAUAUUGGACAAUGGGCGAAAGCCUGAUCCAGCCAUGCCGCGUGUGUGAAGAAGGUCUUCGGAUUGUAAAGCACUUUAAGUUGGGAGGAAGGGCAUUAACCUAAUACGUUGGUGUUUUGACGUUACCGACAGAAUAAGCACCGGCUAACUCUGUGCCAGCAGCCGCGGUAAUACAGAGGGUGCAAGCGUUAAUCGGAAUUACUGGGCGUAAAGCGCGCGUAGGUGGUUUGUUAAGUUGAAUGUGAAAUCCCCGGGCUCAACCUGGGAACUGCAUCCAAAACUGGCAAGCUAGAGUAUGGUAGAGGGUGGUGGAAUUUCCUGUGUAGCGGUGAAAUGCGUAGAUAUAGGAAGGAACACCAGUGGCGAAGGCGACCACCUGGACUGAUACUGACACUGAGGUGCGAAAGCGUGGGGAGCAAACAGGAUUAGA